AGCAUAUCAAUAAGCGGAGGAAAAGAAACCAACAGGGAUUGCCUCAGUAACGGCGAGUGAAGCGGCAAGAGCUCAAAUUUUAAAUCUGGCGCCUUCGGCGUCCGAGUUGUAAUUUGGAGAGGCAUCUUCCGGACGGACCCAGCCUAUGUUCCGUGGAACCGGACGUCAUAGAGGGUGAGAAUCCCGUGCACGGCUGGGCGCCCCGCCCCUCACGAAGUGUCUUCUACGAGUCGAGUUGUUUGGGAAUGCAGCUCAAAAUGGGUGGUAAAUUUCAUCUAAAGCUAAAUACCGGCGAGAGACCGAUAGCGCACAAGUAGAGUGAUCGAAAGAUGAAAAGCACUUUGAAAAUAGAGUUAAAAAGUACGUGAAAUUGUUGAAAGGGAAGCGCUUGAGACCAGACUCGGCCUUCGGCAAACAGCCUUCCUUCUGGUUGGUGCACUUGUCGUCGGCCGGGCCAGCAUCAGUUGGGACGGCGGGACAAAGGCUCGGGGAAUGUGGCUCCCUUCGGGGAGUGUUAUAGCCUCGGGCGCAAUGCCGCCCGUCUCGACUGAGGACCGCGCUUCGGCUAGGAUGCUGGCGUAAUGGUCUUCAGCGACCCGU
RNAcentral lists this ribosomal RNA (600 nucleotides) under uncultured fungus. RNAcentral's name for it is "eukaryotic LSU rRNA". It matches the Rfam family "Eukaryotic large subunit ribosomal RNA", at positions 37 to 652 of the family's 3401-position model. The record is from RNAcentral. Lineage: Eukaryota; Fungi.